RNAcentral lists this ribosomal RNA (446 nucleotides) under uncultured bacterium. Its description in RNAcentral is "partial 16S ribosomal RNA". It matches the Rfam family "Bacterial small subunit ribosomal RNA", at positions 329 to 792 of the family's 1533-position model. The record is from RNAcentral.
CUCCAGACUCCUACGGGAGGCAGCAGUAAGGGAUAUUGGUCAAUGGGGGAAACCCUGAACCAGCAACGCCGCGUGAGGGAAGACGGUUUUCGGAUUGUAAACCCCUGUCCUCUGUGAAGAUGAUGACGGUAGCAGAGGAGGAAGCUCCGGCUAACUACGUGCCAGCAGCCGCGGUAAUACGUAGGGAGCGAGCGUUGUCCGGAUUUACUGGGUGUAAAGGGUGCGUAGGCGGCUUGGCAAGUCAGUAGUGAAAUCCAUGGGCUUAACCCAUGAACUGCUAUUGAAACUGUCGAGCUUGAGUGAAGUAGAGGUAGGCGGAAUUCCCGGUGUAGCGGUGAAAUGCGUAGAGAUCGGGAGGAACACCAGUGGCGAAGGCGGCCUGCUGGACUGCGACUGACGUUGAGGCCCGAAAGCGUGGGGAGCAAACAGGAUUAGAUACCCGAGUA